CCUACGGGGGGCAGCAGUGGGGAAUAUUGGUCAAUGGACGAAAGCCUGAACCAGCCAAGUAGCGUGAAGGAUGACUGCUUUCUGGGUGUUAAACUUCUUUUAUAUGGGAAUAAAAUAUUCCACGUGUGGGAUUUUGUAUGUACCAUAUGAAUAAGGAUCGGCUAACUCCGUGCCAGCAGCCGCGGUAAUACGGAGGAUCCGAGCGUUAUCCGGAUUUAUUGGGUUUAAAGGGAGCGUAGGUGGAUUGUUAAGUCAGUUGUGAAAGUUUGCGGCUCAACCGUGAAAUUGCAGUUGAAACUGGCAGUCUUGAGUACAGUAGAGGUGGGCGGAAUUCGUGGUGUAGCGGUGAAAUGCUUAGAUAUCACGAAGAACUCCGAUGGCGAAGGUAGCCUGCUGGACUGCAACUGACGCUGAGGCUCGAAAGUGUGGGUAUCAAACAGGAUUAGAUACCCUUGUAGUC
This 460-nucleotide ribosomal RNA is filed under the name uncultured bacterium. RNAcentral describes it as "partial 16S ribosomal RNA". It matches the Rfam family "Bacterial small subunit ribosomal RNA", at positions 338 to 795 of the family's 1533-position model. The record is from RNAcentral.